Molecule: ribosomal RNA, 438 nt
Filed under: uncultured bacterium
Lineage: Bacteria
Description: partial 16S ribosomal RNA
Rfam family: Bacterial small subunit ribosomal RNA
Source: RNAcentral
CUACGGGUCGCUGCAGUGAGGAAUAUUGCACAAUGGGGGGAACCCUGAUGCAGCAACGCCGCGUGGAGGAUGACGCAUUUCGGUGUGUAAACUCCUUUUAUAUGUCAAGAAAAUGACGGUAGCAUAUGAAUAAGCACCGGCUAACUCCGUGCCAGCAGCCGCGGUAAUACGGAGGGUGCAAGCGUUACUCGGAAUCACUGGGCGUAAAGGACGCGUAGGCGGGUUGGAAAGUCAGGUGUGAAAUCCUACAGCUUAACUGUAGAACUGCACUUGAAACUUCUAAUCUAGAGUAUGGGAGGGGAGGCGGAAUUAGUGGUGUAGGGGUAAAAUCCGUAGAUAUCACUAGGAAUACCUAAAGCGAAGGCGAUCUCCUGGAACAUUACUGACGCUAAGGCGUGAAAGCGUGGGGAGCAAACAGGAUUAGAUACCCGUGUAGUC